AUACUUUUCACAAAAUAGGGAAACAAUUUACAGCUCAAAAUCUUUUAUUAUUAUCUUAAAAGAAUUCUUCAAAAGGAAUAUAAAAUAAUAAAAGAGGGUCUGACGCCAAUCAAUAGAAAAGCGAAAAGAAUAUACUUGAUAUUGAAAACAACUAAACCUAAUAAAAAAUUCCACAACACUAUUCAUCAUUGUCAUCAUUAUCACUAAUCCAGCCUCCAUGAACCCUACAUUUCUUGGAAGGUUAUCCCUCAUCGUCUGAAAUAGGUGGAGGUGCAUCUUCAUGAAUAUAUAUCUCAGUAGGUAUACUAUCGUGCUCGGGGAUCGCAAGUCGAGCUUGCUCCCAUUGCUCUAUCAGCUCUGCGCAAAAAGCCUCAUAGUCAAUCUCUCGAGGUAAUGUAGGCACAGCAACUUCCCACAAAUAAUCAUAAAUCAAUUCGGCCAUCUCCAACCAUUCUUCUGGCAAGGUGUCAAUAAGGAGGCGGGUCGCCCGACGACCAGUGAUCAUAUAGCCUAGUUGCCUUACCUCCUUCCACCUUACUAACAUCUCCCAAAUGUGCUGGCCCAUAUUGUGUGCUGGGUUCCACCGAUACUCUUCAUACCGCCUUACGAUCUCAUGUUGAUGAGGCAUCAAUGAACUCGUCUUCCUACAAUUCUUCUUAGUCCGUACCAUCUAUCUCAUACCAAUUAUUUAAAGUUCAAUUAGUAGGUAUCUAAUAAGUUUUAGUUAAUUUUUGAGGACUUAAAUAAAUAUUUAAGUUUGGACACAUCAAAAUACUUGGUACAGUAAUGAUUAUCCACAAAGAAAAUACUCAAACAUAUAUUGAUAUUCAUACAUAUUUUUCAAUUGUUGUAUAUAGAAUAAACUUUCUCAUACUCGUUACAUAUAUACAACCAUAUUUAUAAACUUUCUUUACCUUAAAAUUGGCAUAGCGUGGCAAUGGCAUGCACAAUGCUUAGGAUCCUCUUUAAAACAUUUGAUCAACUUAAUAUGUAACGCGAUACAUCUAGGAUAUGAUUUCUUAUGCAAGUCUAAAGAAAAUAAAUUGUGCUCUCCUAAAUGCUUUGUACUUGAUGCAUUAAAAAAAUCUUAGUUUGAGCUCUAUAAUGUUAACCGAAAUAAAUUGUAAAUAAAAAAAAUUUGAUUUUGAAAUAAUAAAAAAAGUAUAUAAUGGAAGAUCUUAAUAUUUGACCAUAUAAACUUAGACAAAUAUGGUAUGAUUUAAUUUUGGAAAGCAUUUGGAGGAAAUUUAGCAAACACUGAUUGCUUAGAUGCAGAAAAAAGAAGAAGAUAUGCUCGGCCUAGCAAAUGUUGACUAAAAUUUAUGAAAUUUUAACAAAGAUUAUAACAUUCAUUUACGCACAACAUAUAAAAAAUUGGCUCUCAAUAGUUUUUCGAAAUUGACUGGCCGCACUCUACGAAAACAGACAUAACUUCUUCUCUAGGUAAUAUUUUAAGGUAAUUCCAAAGGCCACAAUUAGAAGACUCCCUUUCAAACACUAAAACAUGCAAUGUAGCUGGAGUUACGCUAUUUUUAAAUAGGAGGAUAGAAAUUGGAAUUUCAAUUCCGCAACUAUUAGACUUUAUGCAUAGUUUAUCCAACAUUUCUAAGUUAUAGCUGAUGUGAAAUGUAUAAAAACUAGAUGAAAUGGACAUUUAAACACUUUUAAAAGCGUCAUCUGAGUGUUCAUAAAAGAUUUACAUAACUGAUAAUUUUACUAUAAAGAGCAUAUUUCAAAUCGCCUAGCACUUGCCACUAUGCCAUGCCUCAAGUUAACCUGUAAAAUUUUUGUAGGGGAUGAGUACCACAAGUAAUAUUCAGUCGGAAGUAUUCAGUCGGAAAAAAAAAUUAUAUAUAUUUUUCAAAAAUGCAAAUUUUGGUUAUUUGUAUCACCAUCAAUUUUGCAAAGUGAACCAAUGAUCUGUCAGUUCACUUUCUCUUAGAUUUUGAUAACCCUUUUCAAGUACCAAAAAUCAUCCUCUUCAUAUCUUAUUCGAACAAGCAAAGGGUGCUUCCUUUUUCUUAUGAGUAACACAAUAAUACAUUUAAUGCAAAU
Molecule: long non-coding RNA, 2055 nt
Filed under: Olea europaea subsp. europaea
Lineage: Eukaryota; Viridiplantae; Streptophyta; Magnoliopsida; Lamiales; Oleaceae
Source: RNAcentral